GGGUGGAGCUCAGUCAGAGAGCUGUUGAGGGACUGGUUAGGAAGAACACUUCUACAGCCAGAGAGUGGCCUGACUGUGUCAAAGGCCCAUCCUGGUAGAUCUGAACCUAAUGCAGCUUGGAGUGAUCAGAUGACAGAUGUCACAUUUUAGUGCCAGGGACGAGCUAACGAGCUAGACGGGCUAACGAGCUAGACGUGCUAACGAGCUAGACGCGCUAACGAGCUAGACGUGCUAACGAGCUAGACGUGCUAAAGUCCAACCUCAAAACAUAAAUGGAAAAACCAAAGCCUGUAACACCUUCCCCCUUAAGACAACAAAUAUAUCCUAUAUUUUUGUUGGACAAGUUUGCUCACCACCAACAGAAAACAACUUCCAUUUCACAUUAUAAUCAACUACAAUGCUUCACCUUCUACAAUAUAAACAUGGUGUCUACUGGCUGUCAACAAUUAAAAACAAGAAAAAAACACUUA
Molecule: long non-coding RNA, 470 nt
Filed under: Salmo salar (Atlantic salmon)
Lineage: Eukaryota; Metazoa; Chordata; Actinopteri; Salmoniformes; Salmonidae
Description: lncRNA (ENSSSAG00000110342.1)
Source: RNAcentral